GCGGCGUGCUUAACACAUGCAAGUCGAACGGAAAGGCCCUGCUUUUGUGGGGUGCUCGAGUGGCGAACGGGUGAGUAACACGUGAGUAACCUGCCCUUGACUUUGGGAUAACUUCAGGAAACUGGGGCUAAUACCGGAUAGGAGCUCCUGCUGCAUGGUGGGGGUUGGAAAGUUUCGGCGGUUGGGGAUGGACUCGCGGCUUAUCAGCUUGUUGGUGGGGUAGUGGCUUACCAAGGCUUUGACGGGUAGCCGGCCUGAGAGGGUGACCGGCCACAUUGGGACUGAGAUACGGCCCAGACUCCUACGGGAGGCAGCAGUGGGGAAUAUUGCACAAUGGGCGGAAGCCUGAUGCAGCAACGCCGCGUGCGGGAUGACGGCCUUCGGGUUGUAAACCGCUUUCGCCUGUGACGAAGCGUGAGUGACGGUAAUGGGUAAAGAAGCACCGGCUAACUACGUGCCAGCAGCCGCGGUGAUACGUAGGGUGCGAGCGUUGUCCGGAUUUAUUGGGCGUAAAGGGCUCGUAGGUGGUUGAUCGCGUCGGAAGUGUAAUCUUGGGGCUUAACCCUGAGCGUGCUUUCGAUACGGGUUGACUUGAGGAAGGUAGGGGAGAAUGGAAUUCCUGGUGGAGCGGUGGAAUGCGCAGAUAUCAGGAGGAACACCAGUGGCGAAGGCGGUUCUCUGGGCCUUUCCUGACGCUGAGGAGCGAAAGCGUGGGGAGCGAACAGGCUUAGAUACCCUGGUAGUCCACGCUGUAAACGGUGGGUACUAGGUGUGGGGUCCAUUCCACGGGUUCCGUGCCGUAGCUAACGCUUUAAGUACCCCGCCUGGGGAGUACGGCCGCAAGGCUAAAACUCAAAGGAAUUGACGGGGCCCCGCACAAGCGGCGGAGCAUGCGGAUUAAUUCGAUGCAACGCGUAGAACCUUACCUGGGUUUGACAUGGAUCGGGAGUGCUCAGAGAUGGGUGUGCCUCUUUUGGGGUCGGUUCACAGGUGGUGCAUGGCUGUCGUCAGCUCGUGUCGUGAGAUGUUGGGUUAAGUCCCGCAACGAGCGCAACCCUUGUUCACUGUUGCCAGCACGUUAUGGUGGGGACUCAGUGGAGACCGCCGGGGUCAACUCGGAGGAAGGUGGGGAUGACGUCAAGUCAUCAUGCCCCUUAUGUCCAGGGCUUCACGCAUGCUACAAUGGCUGGUACAGAGAGUGGCGAGCCUGUGAGGGUGAGCGAAUCUCGGAAAGCCGGUCUCAGUUCGGAUUGGGGUCUGCAACUCGACCUCAUGAAGUCGGAGUCGCUAGUAAUCGCAGAUCAGCAACGCUGCGGUGAAUACGUUCCCGGGGCUUGUACACACCGCCCGUCAAGUCAUGAAAGUUGGUAACACCCGAAGCCGGUGGCCUAACCGUUGUGGGGGAGCCGUCGAAGGUGGGACUGGUGAUUAGGACUAAAU
This 1440-nucleotide ribosomal RNA is filed under the name uncultured organism. RNAcentral's name for it is "partial small subunit ribosomal RNA". It matches the Rfam family "Bacterial small subunit ribosomal RNA". The record is from RNAcentral.